Molecule: long non-coding RNA, 301 nt
Organism: Maniola jurtina (meadow brown)
Lineage: Eukaryota; Metazoa; Arthropoda; Insecta; Lepidoptera; Nymphalidae
Exons: 3
Source: RefSeq, a predicted model, not a curated record
AUGAAACUCGAUUGUGUAUUUUUUUACGUUUUUAUAACAAGUAUUAGUUCCAAUAAAAUUUUACAAGUUCUUUUUGUACAAGUAGGGGAGAAAUCUCCGUAUAUUCAAACUUAAAGGCAUGUCAGAUAUCGUGGCAUAUACUGUGGAUAGUGCUUUAGAAGGUUUAGGGUUUCUUCACUAGCGAACGGGAGUGUCUCCCAACAAAAUAACAAAUCUGUCCAUCCGUGCAUCCAGCAUCGACACGCGACCGUUGAUUCUGAAGCGCUAAAGUGGAACAGGUAUAGUUCCUACGAAAUGAGUU